RNAcentral lists this ribosomal RNA (468 nucleotides) under uncultured bacterium. RNAcentral's name for it is "partial 16S ribosomal RNA". It matches the Rfam family "Bacterial small subunit ribosomal RNA", at positions 28 to 507 of the family's 1533-position model. The record is from RNAcentral.
GACGAACGCUGGCGGCGUGCUUAACACAUGCAAGUCGAACGGAAAGGCCCUGCUUUUGUGGGGUGCUCGAGUGGCGAACGGGUGAGUAACCCGGGAGUAACCUGCCCUGGACUUUGGGAUAACUUCAGGAAACUGGGGCUAAUACCGGAUAGGAGCUCCUGCUGCAUGGUGGGGGUUGGAAAGUUUCGGCGGUUGGGGAUGGACUCGCGGCUUAUCAGCUUGUUGGUGGGGUAGUGGCUUACCAAGGCUUUGACGGGUAGCCGGCCUGAGAGGGUGACCGGCGACAUUGGGACUGAGAUACGGCCCAGACUCCUACGGGAGGCAGCAGUGGGGAAUAUUGCACAAUGGGCGGAAGCCUGAUGAAGCAACGCCGCGUGCGGGAUGACGGCCUUCGGGUUGUAAACCGCUUUCGCCUGUGACGAAGCGUGAGUGACGGUAAUGGGUAAAGAAGCACCGGCUAACUACGUG